Molecule: small RNA, 627 nt
Filed under: Arabidopsis thaliana (thale cress)
Lineage: Eukaryota; Viridiplantae; Streptophyta; Magnoliopsida; Brassicales; Brassicaceae
Description: ATSL198630
Source: RNAcentral
AUGGUGCUGAACUGGGAGAAAUGCCAUUUCAUGGUUAGAGAAGGCAUCGUUUUGGGCCACAAAAUUUCUGAGGAGGGAAUAGAGGUUGAUAAGGCUAAGGUUGACGUGAUGAUGCAGUUACAGCCACCAAAAACUGUCAAAGACAUCAGGAGUUUUCUUGGACAUGCAGGAUUUUACAGAAGAUUCAUCAAGGAUUUCUCCAAGUUGGCAAGACCGCUCACCAGACUGCUGUGCAAGGAAACCGAGUUUGCAUUUGAUGAUGAAUGUUUGACAGCCUUUAAGUUAAUCAAGGAAGCUUUGAUCACUGCACCAAUAGUCCAAGGUCCAAACUGGGACUUCCCAUUCGAGAUCAUGUGCGAUGCUUCAGAUUACGCAGUAGGAGCAGUCUUGGGCCAGCGGAUUGAUAAAAAGCUGCAUGUGAUCUACUACGCGAGCAGAACGAUGGAUGAUGCACAAGUAAGGUAUGCCACUACAGAGAAGGAACUGCUAGCUGUGGUAUUUGCAUUUGAAAAAUUUAGAAGCUACCUAGUGGGUUCUAAAGUGACAGUCUACACUGAUCAUGCUGCUCUGAGGCAUAUAUACGCGAAGAAGGAUACCAAACCUAGGCUGUUGAGAUGGAUCUUAUUG